Molecule: ribosomal RNA, 468 nt
Filed under: uncultured bacterium
Lineage: Bacteria
Description: partial 16S ribosomal RNA
Rfam family: Bacterial small subunit ribosomal RNA
Source: RNAcentral
GACGAACGCUGGCGGCGUGCUUAACACAUGCAAGUCGAACGGAAAGGCCCUGCUUUUGUGGGGUGCUCGAGUGGCGAACGGGUGAGUAACACGCGAGUAACCUGCCCUUGACUUUGUGAUAACUUCAGGAAACUGGGGCUAAUACCGGAUAGGAGCUCCUGCUGCAUGGUGGGGGUUGGAAAGUUUCGGCGGUUGGGGAUGGACUCGCGGCUUAUCAGCUUGUUGGUGGGGUAGUGGCUUACCAAGGCUUUGACGGGUAGCCGGCCUGAGAGGGUGACCGGCCACAUUGGGACUGAGAUACGGCCCAGACUCCUACGGGAGGCAGCAGUGGGGAAUAUUGCACAAUGGGCGGAAGCCUGAUGCAGCAACGCCGCGUGCGGGAUGACGGCCUUCGGGUUGUAAACCGCUUUCGCCUGUGACGAAGCGUGAGUGACGGUAAUGGGUAAAGAAGCACCGGCUAACUACGUG